AGCCUCUCAGGAUCAUACCUGGAGAGUUUCCAGUACCCUUCCAGUCUCAGCUAUGGGAGGGAGAGUCAAGCAGAGGCAUACCCAUUCCAUUCCAUAGCUUGGGCAAUGGCUAGUGAGUGGAGGGCAAUCUGCUACAAGU
Ornithorhynchus anatinus (platypus) is the source of this 139-nucleotide small nucleolar RNA. Lineage: Eukaryota; Metazoa; Chordata; Mammalia; Monotremata; Ornithorhynchidae. The record is from RefSeq and is a predicted model, not a curated record.